AGUACGGCGGAACACGAGAAAUUCCGUCGGAAUCCGCGGGGACCAUCCCGCAAGGCUAAAUACUCCCUAGUGACCGAUAGUGAACCAGUACCGUGAGGGAAAGGUGAAAAGCACCCCGGAAGGGGAGUGAAAUAGAUCCUGAAACCGUGUGCCUACAACAAGUCAAAGCUCGUUAAUGAGUGAUGGCGUGCCUUUUGUAGAAUGAACCGGCGAGUUACGAUUGCAUGCGAGGUUAAGUCGAAGAGACGGAGCCGCAGCGAAAGCGAGUCUGAAUAGGGCGAAUGAGUAUGUAGUCGUAGACCCGAAACCAUGUGAUCUACCCAUGUCCAGGUUGAAGGUGCGGUAAAACGCACUGGAGGACCGAACCCACGUACGUUGAAAAGUGCGGGGAUGAGGUGUGGGUAGCGGAGAAAUUCCAAACGAACUUGGAGAUAGCUGGUUCUCUCCGAAAUAGCUUUAGGGCUAGCCUCGGAAUUGAGAAUGAUGGAGGUAGAGCACUGUUUGGACUAGGGGCCCAUCUCGGGUUACCGAAUUCAGAUAAACUCCGAAUGCCAUUCAUUUAUAUCCGGGAGUCAGACUGCGAGUGAUAAGAUCCGUAGUCGAAAGGGAAACAGCCCAGACCACCAGCUAAGGUCCCAAAAUAUAUGUUAAGUGGAAAAGGAUGUGGGGUUGCACAGACAACUAGGAUGUUGGCUUAGAAGCAGCCACCAUUUAAAGAGUGCGUAAUAGCUCACUAGUCGAGUGACCCUGCGCCGAAAAUGUACCGGGGCUAAACAUAUUACCGAAGCUGUGGACUACACCAUUAGGUGUAGUGGUAGGAGAGCGUUCUAAGGGCGUUGAAGGUCGAUCGUGAGGACGGCUGGAGCGCUUAGAAGUGAGAAUGCCGGUAUGAGUAGCGAAAGACAGGUGAGAAUCCUGUCCACCGUAUGACUAAGGUUUCCUGGGGAAGGCUCGUCCGCCCAGGGUUAGUCGGGACCUAAGCCGAGGCCGAUAG
Molecule: ribosomal RNA, 994 nt
Filed under: Enterococcus faecalis
Lineage: Bacteria; Bacillati; Bacillota; Bacilli; Lactobacillales; Enterococcaceae
Description: partial 23S ribosomal RNA
Rfam family: Bacterial large subunit ribosomal RNA
Source: RNAcentral